Molecule: ribosomal RNA, 617 nt
Filed under: Diaporthe sp.
Lineage: Eukaryota; Fungi; Ascomycota; Sordariomycetes; Diaporthales; Diaporthaceae
Description: eukaryotic LSU rRNA
Rfam family: 5.8S ribosomal RNA (bases 245-398)
Source: RNAcentral
UCUUGGUCAUUUAGAGGAAGUAAAAGUCGUAACAAGGUCUCCGUUGGUGAACCAGCGGAGGGAUCAUUGCUGGAACGCGCUUCGGCGCACCCAGAAACCCUUUGUGAACUUAUACCUAUCUGUUGCCUCGGCGCAGGCCGGCUUCUUCACUGAAGCCCCCUGGAGACAGGGAGCAGCCCGCCGGCGGCCAACUAAACUCUUGUUUCUAUAGUGAAUCUCUGAGUAAAAAACAUAAAUGAAUCAAAACUUUCAACAACGGAUCUCUUGGUUCUGGCAUCGAUGAAGAACGCAGCGAAAUGCGAUAAGUAAUGUGAAUUGCAGAAUUCAGUGAAUCAUCGAAUCUUUGAACGCACAUUGCGCCCUCUGGUAUUCCGGAGGGCAUGCCUGUUCGAGCGUCAUUUCAACCCUCAAGCCUGGCUUGGUGAUGGGGCACUGCCUGUAAAAGGGCAGGCCCUGAAAUCUAGUGGCGAGCUCGCCAGGACCCCGAGCGUAGUAGUUAUAUCUCGCUUUGGAAGGCCCUGGCGGUGCCCUGCCGUUAAACCCCCAACUUCUGAAAAUUUGACCUCGGAUCAGGUAGGAAUACCCGCUGAACUUAAGCAUAUCAAUAAGCGGAGGAA